GGACAUAGCACAUACAGUGUUAAAUAAAUGUAGGUUUUCUUCCCUCACUGCUGUCUGCCUCCAGACUAAGAGAAGAGCAGCACUGUUUUUGUUUUAGUUCCCAGUGGAAUAGCUGAGCAUAUUGUAUCUGCCCAGGGAAGUCAAUAUCAGGGAGAAGACAGGAUGAGACGUGUUCAUGACUCAUAGCUCACUUAGGUAUAUGGGAGCAUGUCCACAGGAAUAUUAGCUCUUCUGCCUGGUACCCCACUGGGCAUACUCUUAAGACCCUUGGCUGCUGUGCCCUGCCCUGCACCUGUCUCUUAUUUUUCCUUCCUUUUCUCCUUUUUACCUUGUACCCUGCCUUUUCUGAUCCCAACCUCUGCAUAUCACUUAUUCCUGGGAGAGGGAUCAUAAGCCUAAAAGAGCUAUUUCCAUUCUUUCUGCCCAUUCCUCAUGUAGAAAGACUUAGUCUGGCUUGGCUUAAACCUCCUCCCCUCCAAGCUCUCUGUGCUUUCUGUCUUUCAGUGACAUCUGCCAUGAGCUGUUGGGACAUGUGCCCUUGUUUUCAGAUCGCAGCUUUGCCCAGUUUUCCCAGGAAAUUGGCCUUGCCUCUCUGGGUGCGCCUGAUGAGUACAUUGAAAAGCUCGCCACAAUUUACUGGUUUACUGUGGAGUUUGGGCUCUGCAAACAAGGAGACUCCAUAAAGGCAUAUGGUGCUGGGCUUCUGUCAUCCUUUGGUGAAUUACAGUACUGCUUAUCAGACAAGCCAAAGCUUCUCCCCCUGGAACUGGAGAAGACAGCCAUCCAAAAUUACCCUGUCACGGAGUUCCAGCCCCUGUAUUACGUGGCGGAGAGUUUUAAUGAUGCCAAAGAGAAAGUAAGGAACUUUGCUGCCACAAUACCUCGGCCCUUCUCAGUUCACUAUGACCCAUACACCCAAAGGAUUGAGGUCUUGGACAAUACCCAGCAGCUUAAGAUUUUGGCUGAUUCCAUUAACAGUGAAAUUGGAAUCCUUUGCAGUGCCCUCCAGAAAAUAAAGUAAAGCCAUGGACAGAACGUGGUCUGUCAACUGUGAAUCUGUUGAUGGAGAUCCAACUAUUUCUUUCAUCAGAAAAAGUCUGAAAAGCAAA
RNAcentral lists this small RNA (1109 nucleotides) under Pongo abelii (Sumatran orangutan). RNAcentral describes it as "retained intron". Lineage: Eukaryota; Metazoa; Chordata; Mammalia; Primates; Hominidae. The record is from RNAcentral.